This 234-nucleotide unclassified non-coding RNA is filed under the name plant metagenome. RNAcentral describes it as "partial contains small subunit ribosomal RNA, internal transcribed spacer 1, and 5.8S ribosomal RNA". The record is from RNAcentral.
UUUCCGUAGGUGAACCUGCGGAAGGAUCAUUAAUGUGUUUGGGCCUCACGGCUCUUCAUUCCGACGCUGUGCGCCUUCGGGCUACACGCUGAGGGAGCAUAUAUCCACCCCUGUGCACACACACGGUGGCGAGCUGGGUAACGGCUCGCCGCUGAUCUUUACACACGUCUAAAAGUCAUUGUAUGUUUAUUUGAGAUAAAAACACAACUUUCAGCAACGGAUCUCUUGGCUCUC